This 224-nucleotide ribosomal RNA is filed under the name Clostridioides difficile. RNAcentral describes it as "partial 16S ribosomal RNA". It matches the Rfam family "Bacterial small subunit ribosomal RNA", at positions 198 to 424 of the family's 1533-position model. The record is from RNAcentral. Lineage: Bacteria; Bacillati; Bacillota; Clostridia; Peptostreptococcales; Peptostreptococcaceae.
AUAUCAAAGGUGAGCCAGUACAGGAUGGACCCGCGUCUGAUUAGCUAGUUGGUAAGGUAACGGCUUACCAAGGCGACGAUCAGUAGCCGACCUGAGAGGGGGAUCGGCCACAUUGGAACUGAGACACGGUCCAAACUCCUACGGGAGGCAGCAGGGGGGAAUAUUGCACAAUGGGCGAAAGCCUGAUGCAGCAACGCCGCGUGAGUGAUGAAGGCCUUCGGGUC